CAGUAGCCGCGGUAACACCGAGGGUGCGAGCGUUAAUCGGAUUUACUGGGCGUAAAGCGUGCGUAGGUGGUGGUUUAAGUCCGUUGUGAAAGCCCUGGGCUCAACCUGGGAAUUGCAGUGGAUACUGGGUCACUAGAGUGUGGUAGAGGAUAGUGGAAUUUCCGGUGUAGCAGUGAAAUGCGUAGAGAUCGGAAGGAACAUCUGUGGCGAAGGCGACUAUCUGGGCCAACACUGACACUGAGGCACGAAAGCGUGGGGAGCAAACAGGAUUAGAUACCCCCGUAGUCCCUGUCUCUUAUAC
RNAcentral lists this ribosomal RNA (301 nucleotides) under uncultured bacterium. RNAcentral's name for it is "partial 16S ribosomal RNA". It matches the Rfam family "Bacterial small subunit ribosomal RNA", at positions 509 to 807 of the family's 1533-position model. The record is from RNAcentral.